RNAcentral lists this ribosomal RNA (468 nucleotides) under uncultured bacterium. Its description in RNAcentral is "partial 16S ribosomal RNA". It matches the Rfam family "Bacterial small subunit ribosomal RNA", at positions 28 to 507 of the family's 1533-position model. The record is from RNAcentral.
GACGAACGCUGGCGGCGUGCUUAACACAUGCAAGUCGAACGGAAAGGCCCUGCUUUUGUGGGGUGCUCGAGUGGCGAACGGGUGAGUAACACGUGAGUAACCUGCCCUUGACUUUGGGAUAACUUCAGGAAACUGGGGCUAAUACCGGAUAGGAGCUCCUGCUGCAUGGUGGGGGUUGGAAAGUUUCGGCGGUUGGGGAUGGACUCGCGGCUUAUCAGCUUGUUGGUGGGGUAGUGGCUUACCAAGGCUUUGACGGGUAGCCGGCCUGAGAGGGUGAAAGGCCACAUUGGGACUGAGAUACGGCCCAGACUCCUACGGGAGGCAGCAGUGGGGAAUAGUGCACAAUGGGCGGAAGCCUGAUGCAGCAACGCCGCGUGCGGGAUGACGGCCUUCGGGUUGUAAACCGCUUUCGCCUGUGACGAAGCGUGAGUGACGGUAAUGGGUAAAGAAGCACCGGCUAACUACGUG